This 70-nucleotide transfer RNA is filed under the name Camelus ferus (Wild Bactrian camel). It matches the Rfam family "tRNA". Rfam says of the family: Transfer RNA (tRNA) molecules are approximately 80 nucleotides in length. Lineage: Eukaryota; Metazoa; Chordata; Mammalia; Artiodactyla; Camelidae. The record is from Rfam by way of RNAcentral.
GGAGAUAGCUCAGUGGAAGAGUGUGUGCUUGGCAUGCAUGAGGUCCUGAGUUCAAUCCCCAGUACCACCA